CCCUGGUCACUAACGUUAACAUUGGCGCCGUCUGUGGGAAGCCAACACAAAGGCUUCGUCACCUACCACAAACUUUGACCCGCAAGCGUCGAGCCAACGAUUUAUAAUGGUUGCUUCGGUAGAAAAUGAUCCAGGUGGUGGAAGUGAGGUUGAAACAUCAGGACCUGUAACCUCCUCUUUAAGCAAGGUUUUUCUUCCAUGCUCAAACGUUGAGGCUGUGAGCAGAACAUUAUAGAGCAAGGAUGAUCUAGCUAGCAUGUUCUAUAUUUGAAUAUUAGUUUAAUUAUACUAUGAUUUUGUAAUAUGAAGUUGUUUAAAUGACAUAAUGUACUAUAUGAAUGCUUUUGUUUAUUAUCCUUGAAUGAAAGGGUUUAAUUAAAACAUUGUCUAUUAGAAGUGU
Molecule: long non-coding RNA, 400 nt
Organism: Rosa chinensis
Lineage: Eukaryota; Viridiplantae; Streptophyta; Magnoliopsida; Rosales; Rosaceae
Exons: 2
Source: RefSeq, a predicted model, not a curated record